This 1060-nucleotide ribosomal RNA is filed under the name uncultured fungus. RNAcentral describes it as "eukaryotic LSU rRNA". The stretch from base 472 to 1060 matches the Rfam family "Eukaryotic large subunit ribosomal RNA", at positions 1 to 600 of the family's 3401-position model. Lineage: Eukaryota; Fungi. The record is from RNAcentral.
GAUCAUUAUAGAGUUUUCUAAACUCCCAACCCAUGUGAACUUACCUUUUGUUGCCUCGGCAGAAGUUAUAGGUCUUCUUAUAGCUGCUGCCGGUGGACCAUUAAACUCUUGUUAUUUUAUGUAAUCUGAGCGUCUUAUUUUAAUAAGUCAAAACUUUCAACAACGGAUCUCUUGGUUCUGGCAUCGAUGAAGAACGCAGCGAAAUGCGAUAAGUAAUGUGAAUUGCAGAAUUCAGUGAAUCAUCGAAUCUUUGAACGCACAUUGCGCCCAUUAGUAUUCUAGUGGGCAUGCCUGUUCGAGCGUCAUUUCAACCCUUAAGCCUAGCUUAGUGUUGGGAAUCUACUUCUCUUAGGAGUUGUAGUUCCUGAAAUACAACGGCGGAUUUGUAGUAUCCUCUGAGCGUAGUAAUUUUUUUCUCGCUUUUGUUAGGUGCUAUAACUCCCAGCCGCUAAACCCCCAAUUUUUUGUGGUUGACCUCGGAUCAGGUAGGAAUACCCGCUGAACUUAAGCAUAUCAAUAAGCGGAGGAAAAGAAACCAACAGGGAUUGCCUUAGUAACGGCGAGUGAAGCGGCAACAGCUCAAAUUUGAAAUCUGGCCCUUGGGUCCGAAUUGUAAUUUGUAGAGGAUGAUUUUGGUGCGGUAUCUUCCGAGUUCCUUGGAACAGGACGCCUUAGAGGGUGAGAGCCCCGUACGGUUGAAUGCCUAGCCUCUGUAAAUCUCCUUCGACGAGUCGAGUAGUUUGGGAAUGCUGCUCUAAAUGGGAGGUAAAUUUCUUCUAAAGCUAAAUAUUGGCCAGAGACCGAUAGCGCACAAGUAGAGUGAUCGAAAGAUGAAAAGCACUUUGAAAAGAGGGUUAAAUAGCACGUGAAAUUGUUGAAAGGGAAGGAUUUGUGACCAGACUUUUUCUGGGCGGAUCAUCCGGGGUUCUCUCCGGUGCACUUCGCCCAGUAAAGGCCAGCAUCGGUUUUCGGCGUGGGAUAAAAGCGGUAGGAAUGUGGCUCUCUACGGGGAGUGUUAUAGCCUAUUGUAUAAUACCGCGCUGGGGACCGAGGUUCGCGC